UGACGGAGCAACGCCGCGUGAGUGACGAAGGCCUUCGGGUCGUAAAGCUCUGUUGUUAGGGAAGAACAAGUACCGUUCGAAUAGGGCGGUACCUUGACGGUACCUAACCAGAAAGCCACGGCUAACUACGUGCCAGCAGCCGCGGUAAUACGUAGGUGGCAAGCGUUGUCCGGAAUUAUUGGGCGUAAAGCGCGCGCAGGCGGUCUCUUAAGUCUGAUGUGAAAGCCCACGGCUCAACCGUGGAGGGCCAUUGGAAACUGGGGGACUUGAGUGCAGAAGAGGAGAGUGGAAUUCCACGUGUAGCGGUGAAAUGCGUAGAUAUGUGGAGGAACACCAGUGGCGAAGGCGGCUCUCUGGUCUGUAACUGACGCUGAGGCGCGAAAGCGUGGGGAGCAAACAGGAUUAGAUACCCUGGUAGUCCACGCCGUAAACGAUGAGUGCUAGGUGUUGGGGGGUUCCACCCUCAGUGCUGAAGUUAACACAUUAAGCACUCCGCCUGGGGAGUACGACCGCAAGGUUGAAACUCAAAGGAAUUGACGGGGGCCCGCACAAGCAGUGGAGCAUGUGGUUUAAUUCGAAGCAACGCGAAGAACCUUACCAGGUCUUGACAUCCUCUGCCACUCCUAGAGAUAGGACGUUCCCCUUCGGGGGACAGAGUGACAGGUGGUGCAUGGUUGUCGUCAGCUCGUGUCGUGAGAUGUUGGGUUAAGUCCCGCAACGAGCGCAACCCUUGAUCUUAGUUGCCAGCAUUCAGUUGGGCACUCUAAGGUGACUGCCGGUGACAAACCGGAGGAAGGUGG
This 800-nucleotide ribosomal RNA is filed under the name Bacillus sp. Ni14. RNAcentral's name for it is "bacterial SSU rRNA". It matches the Rfam family "Bacterial small subunit ribosomal RNA", at positions 384 to 1176 of the family's 1533-position model. The record is from RNAcentral. Lineage: Bacteria; Bacillati; Bacillota; Bacilli; Caryophanales; Bacillaceae.